Long non-coding RNA from Sphaerodactylus townsendi, 644 nucleotides. RefSeq lists it as uncharacterized. NCBI's taxonomy places the organism in Eukaryota, Metazoa, Chordata, Lepidosauria, Squamata, Sphaerodactylidae. The record is from RefSeq and is a predicted model, not a curated record. The transcript is spliced from 3 exons.
UAUUAAAGGUUCCUGCUUCAGGCUCCUGGAGCGAAACUCUGGCAAACUGCCAGCCCCUCUGACAGAGCCCCAGAAACUCUCCAAGAAACUAUACAAAGAAUAAGAAAGAAACUGAAUACAGAUGGAAUGGGAAAUCAGAUAUUCUGAAUCUAUGGGAAGUUCUUUGAGCCAGACCAAGGUUAACCGAAGCUCUUCAACAAUGCAAAACAUGGAUUCCUUAAUACAGCUUCAUGGGAAGCUUACAGAAGAGAACCAAUCUCACAUGAGUUUAUGGUUUCAACACUAAUGUUGCACAUGCAAGUAAAUAUGCAGAAAUUUAUGCUAAUUUCUGGUUGAGACAACGAUUUUUACAACCCACUCAGAACCACAUUCAUUCAGCAAAAACUAUCUAUGUGACUUAGUUGUUCCCUCCAAAAAUAACAGCCCCAGAAUCAACUGGGCCGUAAUUGCAACAGAGGGCAAGGCACAUGGUGAGCUCCGGAGCAGUGAGCAUGCGUGCCCUGGGCUGGCCAUGCGGCACAGCCACACUCAGCCUGAUCACUUGAUGUGCAUGAGUGUUAGGGGUGGAGCACGCUAUCUAUAUAUUACACAGCACACGGUUGCUCCAGCCUUUUUCAAAGCCUGGAGCAAACUGACCCGCCCUC